GGGGUGGGAAUGUGCCUUUGUCUGAAAUGUUGGGUACAUUUGCUCUAUCUGUUGGUGCUGCUGUGGGAAUGGAGUUUUGGGCAAGAUGGGCUCAUAAAGCUCUCUGGCACGCUUCUUUAUGGCAUAUGCACGAGUCUCACCACCGACCCAGAAAAGGUCCAUUCGAGCUUAACGAUGAACUGAAACAGAGAGAGAAG
Non-coding RNA from Prunus avium (sweet cherry), 197 nucleotides. Lineage: Eukaryota; Viridiplantae; Streptophyta; Magnoliopsida; Rosales; Rosaceae. The record is from RefSeq and is a predicted model, not a curated record.